AUGUGAGAUGAUAACGUGCCCAUGUGAUGAGAGGAAGUGACGUCAGGGCAGGCUGCCGUGGACCUUCUGAUGCUCCCUCGGAAGGAGGGUCAUCUGUUUCCGAGCCACCGUUGACCACAGUCUAACCCAAGAUACUGCUGGCUUACUUAAGACGGGGGAACUUUCUCCGAGUAGAGUGGCAUGUCAAGAUAAAGAAGGUCGCGCCAGUCUCCGGUUCUCCCACUUUGUGCAGAAGAUGGCGUAUUUUGAAAUUUCCCCGGGUUCGGGACUCGGGGUUGGGAGUGAGGAAAAACACAUCUCGUUUGCUGAACGGCCACGCUCACUGCACACAGCCCUGCCUGCCAGGGAGAUGAGGCACCUCCAUUUCACAGUUGCGGGAAGCACGGCUCGGGCUGAUUAAGGGCGUGCCCAAGGCCAGAGACAAACACGGGUGGUAAACUGAGGUUUCUCCCUGCGUCCUCAGGCUCCUCUUUCCAGCGUACCACACUGCCUUUCUUGUAAACACGCAGCGGAUCUGAGGGUGGGACAGAGGGAAGACGAGAGACAGACGGGGUGGGCUUCUGGCUGCCUGGUUUACCAGCCUCUACUUUGAGCACCUCUAGCAACCCCCAGGUUCUUAGAGUUCUCCAGCACCAAGGAACGAGCCCGGAGUCCUCAUCUCCCAAGGGCAUGUCCGAUUCAACCACUAGCAGUCAGCAAUGUUACAGAGCAUUUACAAAAUGUAAGAAGUAGUUUAUCAGUUGUCCAAUCAGACCGUGUGGAUCUGCUCCUUACGAUUAGAAGGUGGCCCAUAAGAUGCUGUGGCUCUGGGGUGCCUGGGUGGCUCAGUCGAUUGGGCGUCCGACUUUGGCUCAGGUCAUGUUCUCACGCCCCGCAUUGGGCUCUGUGCUGAUAGCUUGGAGCUUGGAGCCUGCUUCAAAUUCUGUGUCUCCCUCUCUCUCUGCCCCUCCCCCACUCACACUCUGUUUCUCUCUCCUUCAAAGAUAAACAUUAAAAACAAUUUAAAUUAAAAAAAUUUUAAGAAACUGAAAAGCAGAGAA
Neofelis nebulosa (Clouded leopard) is the source of this 1040-nucleotide long non-coding RNA. RefSeq lists it as uncharacterized. The transcript has 3 exons. NCBI's taxonomy places the organism in Eukaryota, Metazoa, Chordata, Mammalia, Carnivora, Felidae. The record is from RefSeq and is a predicted model, not a curated record.